UACAGAGGUGGCAAGCGUUGUUCGGAAUUACUGGGCGUAAAGGGCGCGUAGGCGGCCUCGCAAGUCCCGUGUGAAAUCCCUCGGCUCAACUGAGGAAUGGCACGGGAAACUGCGGGGCUUGAGUUCGGGAGAGGGAAGCGGAAUUCCGGGUGUAGCGGUGAAAUGCGUAGAUAUCCGGAGGAACACCAGUGGCGAAGGCGACUACCUGGCCUGUUCUUGACGCUGAGGCGCGAAAGCUAGGGGAGCAAACGGG
RNAcentral lists this ribosomal RNA (253 nucleotides) under uncultured bacterium. RNAcentral describes it as "partial 16S ribosomal RNA". It matches the Rfam family "Bacterial small subunit ribosomal RNA", at positions 524 to 776 of the family's 1533-position model. The record is from RNAcentral.